RNAcentral lists this small nucleolar RNA (203 nucleotides) under Orchesella cincta. RNAcentral's name for it is "Small nucleolar RNA U3". It matches the Rfam family "Small nucleolar RNA U3". Rfam says of the family: Small nucleolar RNAs (snoRNAs) are involved in the processing and modification of rRNA in the nucleolus. There are two main classes of snoRNAs: the box C/D class, and the box H/ACA class. The record is from Rfam by way of RNAcentral. Lineage: Eukaryota; Metazoa; Arthropoda; Collembola; Entomobryomorpha; Orchesellidae.
CUUUCUAUAUUUUAGGAUCAAUUUCUUUGUAUGAUUGCUCCUAACCCUAUGUCCAAUUCGGAGGCCGAAGGAACAAACCUCGAUGAGGAGAUAUAGCGUUCUUUCCUGAGCGUGAGCGGAAACUUAACGGUCAGUGCGUCAUUUCUUCACGAUGACCGUUCCUAACUAACUCUCGGUAGUCGGAGGGGAACGCAGUCUGAAAG